Anthonomus grandis grandis is the source of this 1902-nucleotide long non-coding RNA. RefSeq lists it as uncharacterized. The record is from RefSeq and is a predicted model, not a curated record. The transcript has 4 exons. NCBI's taxonomy places the organism in Eukaryota, Metazoa, Arthropoda, Insecta, Coleoptera, Curculionidae.
CCAAUUUUCCUCUUACGUCGCUCUGCCUGAUUUAUGACGCUCCGUCAUCCGCCAAAUGGAAACCAAACUUUAAUGGGAAACAGCAAUGCUGCCAAACCUCCACAACAACAAGUGUGUCAAUAGUCAUUACUGUCAAUCACAGUCACUGUCAAUCGGCUAGUAGGGUUAGAAACCAGAUGUCAAGACACGUUUAUUUACUAAAACUUAACUUGAAGAAUUGAAGGGAAAUAUAGCAAGCAAAACUGGGGAGGCCAAUUUCAAAUCAAUUAGGAUACCUUGCCCAACAUGAUUCCGCUAUAGAAGAAAGUAUUUCGCAAUCUGUGGCACAACAGCACCCUCUAGAAGUCCCUCCAUACCCCAGACAUAUACCGGCCUCAUAGAAACUCUUGACAAACAAAUCAAAGGUCAGAAAGUUCCCAACACCAGGUAUAUGAAUAGGGACUAAGGAAACAUAAUACGACUAACUCCGCAGAGGUGUGCUGACAGGAUAGGGUAGAAAAUCCAAUAAAACCGUUCAAGAUGGAGUUUUAGCCAGUUACAUUACUUUAGAUAUACCUAGACGAAAAAGGUGUCGCAAGGCUGAUGGAAAACCUCACUCUUUUGCAGUAAAAUAUUGCGUUUUCGUUAGGCAACAAAAAAUGCAGGUUUGUCAGAAGUUUAUAAUGGCUAUUUACAAUGUUGGUCAGAGGAGGGUGAAUACCAUUUGCAGGAAAGUGCAAAGUGGGGAAACAGUUUUAACAGAAAAAGGGGGAGGCGAUAGACGCACUUUUAAGUUUGUGGAUAAACUGAAUGCUGUAAGGUCUUUUAUUAGUCAGUUACAAGGAAAGGAAAGCCACUAUGGCAGAAAAGUCUCGACGAAUUUAUGUAUCAUCAGAAUACAACAUUUCUAUACUUUGGCAAUUAUAUAACAAAAAAGCACCAAAUAAUCUGAAAGUAAAUUACAAAUAUUUCAGCCGGGUGUUUAGUAAAUACUUUAAUAUAGGAUUCGGUAGUCCCGCUAGUGAAGUCUGUAGCUACUGCGUUAGAACACAAACCAAAAUUGGUAUGUCUCGAAUUGCUACACAAAAACAAAAGUUAUCUACUGAACUAAAAGUGCAUAAAUUCGGUGCAUCACAAUUUCAUAAAUUAUUGAAAGUUGAAGAUCCCAAUACAAUUUCAUAUUGCUUUGAUCUGUAACAAGUUUAGGUAUUACCCAAGGUCCCUAUUCAGGAGGCAUGUUACGCCCAACAGCUGUUAAUACACUCUUUUUGAAUUACUAAACUUAAUUGCAAAGACUCAGUAUUCUAUACGUGGAUGGAGCACCAAGCAGGUAGAGGGCGACUGAGAUAUCUUCUGCUGUUAUCGGUUUUUUGAAAAAACUUACAUUUCCAGACAAUGCGACAAAAAUCCGUUUUUUUGCAGAUGGGUGUGGAGGACAAAAUAAAAAUAAUCAUGCUGUGCAUGCUUUAAUGUUUUGGCUUCAAACGUUUUCAUGUAAGCAGAUUAGGAACAUAGAAGUUAUAUUUCCAAUUAGAGGUCACUCUUAUCUCCCCGCCGAUCGUAUCUUUGGACGCAUUGAAAAAAACUUAAGGUCUCAUAGUAUUAUAAAAACUCCAGAUCAAUAUUGGGAUAUCUACACCAAAGUGGGUGGUGUACAAAAACUUGGAACUGACUGGCAUUUACUUGACAUAAAAAAACUUUUGCUGCAUCUGAAAAAAGUGACUGGCAUUCAUUCUUGUCGAAGACUUUCGUUAAAGAAAAAAAGUUCCACCCAUAAUAUUUUGCUGAAAACUGAGUUACUAUAUCGCAAUUCAGAUGAGACAAAAAAGUUUUAAUCACUCCUAAAACCACGAGCAAGAUUCGAUCAAAGAGAAUUACAGGAAUUAGGUUUGGGUCAUAAAAUAAAGGGAAAAAAGUAGAUAG